AGGACGAACGCUGGCGGCGUGCUUAACACAUGCAAGUCGAGCGGAAAGGCCCUUCGGGGUACUCGAGCGGCGAACGGGUGAGUAACACGUGAGUAACCUGCCCCUAGCUUCGGGAUAGCUCCGGGAAACCGGAAUUAAUACCGGAUAUGACCACGGCCGACAUCGGCCACGGUGGAAAGAUUCAUCGGCUAGGGAUGGGCUCGCGGCCUAUCAGCUUGUUGGUGGGGUAACAGCCUACCAAGGCGACGACGGGUAGCCGGCCUGAGAGGGCGACCGGCCACACCUGGGACUGAGACACGGCCCAGACUCCUACGGGAGGCAGCAGUGGGAAUAUUGCGCAAUGGGCGAAAGCCUGACGCAGCGACGCCGCGUGGGGGAUGAAGGCCUUCGGGUUGUAAACCCCUUUCAGCAGGGACGAAGCGAAAGUGACGGUACCUGCAGAGAAGCGCCGGCUAACACGUGCCAGCAGCCGC
RNAcentral lists this ribosomal RNA (473 nucleotides) under uncultured bacterium. Its description in RNAcentral is "SSU rRNA". It matches the Rfam family "Bacterial small subunit ribosomal RNA", at positions 26 to 518 of the family's 1533-position model. The record is from RNAcentral.